CCUACGGGUGGCAGCAGUGAGGAAUAUUGGACAAUGGCCGAGAGGCUGAACCAGCCAAGUCGCGUGAGGGAAGAAUGUCCUAUGGAUUGUAAACCUCGUUUGUCAGGGAGCAAAGUCACCCACGUGUGGGUGUUGGAGAGUACCUGAAGAAAAAGCAUCGGCUCACUCCGUGACAGCAGCCGCGGUAAUACGGAGGAUGCGAGCGUUGUCCGGAUUUAUUGGGUUAAAAGGGUGCGUAGGCGGGCUAUCAAGUCAGCGGUAAAAUCUUGGAGCUAAACUCCAUCCAGCCGUUGAAACUGAUGAUCUUGAGUGGGCGAGAAGUAUGCGGAAUGCGUGGUGUAGCGGUGAAAUGCCGAGAUAUCACGCAGAACGCCGAUUGCGAAGGCAGCAAACCGGCGCCCGACUGACGCUGAAGCACGAAAGCGUGGGGAUCGAACAGGAUUAGAUACCCGUGUAGUC
Molecule: ribosomal RNA, 459 nt
Filed under: uncultured bacterium
Lineage: Bacteria
Description: partial 16S ribosomal RNA
Rfam family: Bacterial small subunit ribosomal RNA
Source: RNAcentral